RNAcentral lists this long non-coding RNA (1084 nucleotides) under Marmota monax (woodchuck). Lineage: Eukaryota; Metazoa; Chordata; Mammalia; Rodentia; Sciuridae. The record is from RNAcentral.
AUUAAAGAAAGAAGAACCCUGUGACAGAAUAGGGCCUACAUCUCCAGGCACAAAAGAAUGUUGACCUCCAGGACUUGGAGAUGCCCUCUGAGGAUGCUCUGGGAUUUCCCAGCAUGAGUUCUACUGACGGCCUGUGCCUGUUCAAAGCCUUUGAGCACACAUACUGCACUCUGGUGGAUACUCGUCACAUGUUAGCCUAGUAAAGGCUCUGUCUGAGAAGUCAGUCUAUGAAAUGGCCUUCCAGAGGACUCAAUCUGGCCACAGCUUGACUUCUUCAAGCUCUUUACACUCUCUCUUCCUGUUUCACCCCAUCUUUUCCCUCCCCUCUGCAAGCCCUUUGCAUUCCAGCCUCACAGCACUAACCAAUCUUUCCAGAGUAUGCUAUUUGAGUCUUGGCCCUUUCUGUGUCCUGCUCCCUAAUGAAUGUGUCCACUCUGCACCUGGAAAAUGCCAAGUGUCACCCCUUCUGUAAGGCUUUCUCUGACUCAAAAACCAAAUUUGGUUGCUUUUACUAGUUCCCAUUUUACUUUGUACAAAGCUCCAGUUACAGUUAUGUUUCUGUACUAGUAUUGGAAUGGAGUCUCAUGCAUGGAGAGGGAGGUCCUUGAGGGCAGGAACUGUGUGUAUCUUUAUAAUCCAGUAUAGAUGUUCAGCAAAUGCCUUAAGAAUGAAAAAGUAAAUGAUUGGAUGGAUGGGUGGAUAGCUGGAUGGACAAACAGAUGGACUGAUAAUUAAGUUCCUGAAACUGCAUGGGAGGGUGCAGAAAACCAAACCCAAAACACCAAAGACAGAGAUGUCAUCUUCAUGGUUUUCCCUCAGAAGAGGAACUUAAGACCUACCCUUUAUUACCAACUGCAAGAAUAAAGGAUAUCUUCAUGGUAGGCUACCGGACACAACCUCGUGACCUUUUCUACUUUCUCAGUAGGAGUGUCUCAACUAUUACCUGGGUAACACAGUGACCAACCCUUCCCAGUUUGUCUAGAACUGUUUCACUUUUAAAACUAAAAGUCCAGUGUACCAGGAACACCCUCAUUUCAGAGCAAGCUGGGACAGUUGACUUCCUUUUAGCCAUGUUGCUCCCCAG